Long non-coding RNA from Neopelma chrysocephalum (saffron-crested tyrant-manakin), 556 nucleotides. RefSeq lists it as uncharacterized. The transcript is spliced from 5 exons. NCBI's taxonomy places the organism in Eukaryota, Metazoa, Chordata, Aves, Passeriformes, Pipridae. The record is from RefSeq and is a predicted model, not a curated record.
GCCUUCAUUGAGAACUGUUACUCUUUGCUCAAUUUUGUGCAAGUCAGUGAGACUCUGACCUGGAAAAAUUGCUUCUGAUUCUCAAAACAAGGACAGCAAGGUGUGUGCAGACUUCUAUGGUGUUUGCACCCACCAUUGAGCUCAGCAGAUAUUUGGAGAGGUGAUGGUCUGGCCACACCUGUCCAGCCACCGCAUCCCUCUGGUUACGGGAAGGCUGGUUCAGUAUAGACCCAAACACGAGGCUGAAAGUCACCUACAGACCCUCAGUGCUCCCCAAGAACACCCAUGUCAGCGUGUGGCUGCAAGGAAAACGAAGGACUCCGGCGUGUGUUAUCUCCACCUCCGCAAUUCCCGUCCGGCUGAUGAGCGGCUGGAUGGCUCCGUGCCUUCCUCACUGAACUACUGAAGCCAAUAAUGAACAUAAAUACUUACAUAACAUAAAUAAAAACAACUUGCAGGAUUUUAAAGCAACCACAGACAUCUUGCAGCUAAGACAAUGUUAGUUUUUAAUGAAAGUAAUUCUGUUGCUAUCCCAAGAGAUGUUAGAAUGAAAGAG